GAUGAACGCUGGCGGCGUGCCUAAUACAUGCAAGUCGAGCGAACAGAUGAGGAGCUUGCUCCUCUGACGUUAGCGGCGGACGGGUGAGUAACACGUGGAUAACCUUCCUAUAUGACUGGGAUAACUUCGGGAAACCGGAGCUAAUAACGGAUCAUAUAUUGAACCGCAUGGUUCAAUAGUGACAGACGGUUUUGCUGUCACUUAUAGAUGGAUCCGCGCCGCAUUAGCUAGUUGGUAAGGUAACGGCUUACCAAGGCAACGAUGCGUAGCCGACCUGAGAGGGUGAUCGGCCACACUGGAACUGAGACACGGUCCAGACUCCUACGGGAGGCAGCAGUAGGGAAUCUUCGGCAAUGGGCGAAAGCCUGACGGAGCGACGCCGCGUGAGUGAUGAAGGUCUUCGGAUCGUAAAACUCUGUUAUUAGGGAAGAACAAAUGUGUAAGUAACUAUGCACGUCUUGACGGUACCUAAUCAGAAAGCCACGGCUAACUACGUG
Molecule: ribosomal RNA, 497 nt
Filed under: uncultured bacterium
Lineage: Bacteria
Description: partial 16S ribosomal RNA
Rfam family: Bacterial small subunit ribosomal RNA
Source: RNAcentral